RNAcentral lists this long non-coding RNA (1030 nucleotides) under Equus caballus (horse). Its description in RNAcentral is "lncRNA (ENSECAG00000055164.1)". Lineage: Eukaryota; Metazoa; Chordata; Mammalia; Perissodactyla; Equidae. The record is from RNAcentral.
UGUCACCUCAUUUUUUUUCUGUAGAUUAGAAAUAGGAAUUUUACAUGUUGUGUUUGAGCAUUUUGUGGAUUGGUUUCCAACACAGACAGACGCCUUCUCAGCCUCAUGAACAGAUUCUCUGCAGGAGGAUCCCGUGUGUAUGGUGACUCAGUCAGGCAAACCAACGACGAAAGAAAAUGGUUCCCCAAAACCUAAAACCUGUCAUCCUGUAUCCUGACCACCUGCCAUCAACACAGAGCCAAGAGACGUGUGGCUUACAUCUCACCAUCUCCUUAACUUUGAGGGAGGUACCACACUUCAAGCAGUGGCAGCAUUGAGACGGCUAAGUGUACUCCUGUGGCUGAUGGGUGGGGAAGAUGCCAAUGACCACACUAUGGCAGAGAGGGUGUGGCGAGGGGAGCCCAGGCUGGGCCCAGGGUGAGCUGCUGUAUCGUGGGAGCGACGAGGGCCAUUCUUGACCAGGCACUGUUGAUCGAGGCCGAGAAUGGGCUGCUGGAAUUUACAGAAGGGUUUUUGCCAAGUCCUGUACCCUCUUCCCAGCCACAGCUCAUAGGGACUCGCUCCCUCACCACCAACACCUUGAUGAUCGUUGCUGUGGUGAGCCUGUCUCUCUCUCAGGAGAAACUAGGACCAAGAGAAAACUGCUAAAGCAUCAGUCGGCGAGUAAGAGGAAUCUGUGCAGCCGCAAAGUCGUGCCUGGAUUUACCCUGCCAUACCCUGCAGUACAAAGAGAAACCUGGGAAAGCCUGAGUCCCUGUGUCGACGUAGCGGUCAGGUUCUGGAGGUGAGGUUCAGCCAGAGCUGACGCUGGAACUUCUCUGCCAGGGGCUCCCCGCAAAAAAAUUCGCUCGAAAUGUUACAAAAUGUGUGUCAGUUGCUGUGUGCAUUCACUUUUCACCCUCUGCCUCAUACCCUGCUUUUUGGUGAAGAAAAGAGUGUAAAACCUAUAGAGUUUUUACCAGUUUCAACAGGUACAUUGCAAGCUACUGAUGUAUCCCAAUGCUCCUUAGCACUUUCCGUAUCCUUCCAU